AGCGCAGACGGAACUGCAAGUCUGAUGUGAAAGCCCGGGGCUCAACCGCGGGACUGCAUUGGAAACUGUAGAUCUGGAGUGCCGGAGGGGCAAGCGGAAUUCCUGGUGUAGCGGUGAAAUGCGUAGAUAUCAGGAGGAACACCGGCGGCGAAGGCGGCUUGCUGGACGGCAACUGACGUUGAGGCUCGAAAGCGUGGGGAGCAAACAG
This 208-nucleotide ribosomal RNA is filed under the name uncultured Bacillota bacterium. RNAcentral's name for it is "uncultured Firmicutes bacterium partial 16S ribosomal RNA". It matches the Rfam family "Bacterial small subunit ribosomal RNA", at positions 568 to 775 of the family's 1533-position model. The record is from RNAcentral. Lineage: Bacteria; Bacillati; Bacillota.